Molecule: long non-coding RNA, 4103 nt
Filed under: Pongo abelii (Sumatran orangutan)
Lineage: Eukaryota; Metazoa; Chordata; Mammalia; Primates; Hominidae
Description: lincRNA
Source: RNAcentral
AAUUAGCUAAACAAAGAAAUCAUGGCGGAUUGUUUACAUUUGGCAGCGCCCGGGCUGCGCCGACCGCCGGCCCCGAGCCGCCGCGGGCCCCGAGGAGUCGGCCGAGCUGCUCCCGCGCCCUGGCCGGCUGGGUCUUCAUCCUCAUUGUACUCCCUUGGCAUCUCAUGGUGACGUGACUUAGAAGGUGGUGCAGAGACGUUUGAAACUAUUGCUUUGCUGAAAACAUCUGACUGCCAGGCUAGGAUGUGACACUUAAGGGACUUACCAAUUUGGGAUUCUUCCAGGAGCUGAAAACUGAUUACAAAUAUGAAACAGAUUUCACUACAGGACUUGAACCCUACAUUAAAAAACAACAAGCUCUCCAAAAUAAUUGAAAAAGAUCUUCACCAAAGAGUAGCUGCAAUGUGAAUGGCAGGAUAUGAAGCAAGUAAGAGAUGGUGAAAAGAUUAUCUUAAGCUUGGAAUUAAGUGAUGAAAGGGACCUUAGAAAUGAUCAACUCUAAAUACUUCUUUACAGGAAAAUUGAAAGCAGUUAAGAACCUGCCCCCUGCCAUGGAGUUCUUGGUGCCGUGAGUUGGAGUUUUUGGUGCCUGGGUGCAUCCCCAAGGCCACUGGUCUUCAGAUGUUUCUUACUUGAGAAGAACGCCUCCGCCUCCUGGCUCUCCCACCAGUGGUACUGCUACCACCACACACCAGCAUAAAGCACAGAUUGCUGCCCAGCUCCUUGGAGAGGGGCCAGUGCAUUUGUCAGGAAUUGAAAAGUUUUGGAGCCAGUUCGAGGACUUUCUGCUGCACAAAGUGUUGGCUGGAAGCAUGAUUAUCUCACACAGAGCUGUUGGAAUUACUUCGUGAUGAUUUCAAAGAAAAUUUUCAUCUCUGAACACUCUUAUCCCAAGGGCAUCCUAAAGAUCCUCUGGAAUGCAUUGGGUGAGAGAGAAAGUUCUGUGUCAACUCUUCUGGCAGAGGGAAAAGCUGACCGAGGAAGUCAAAAUGAAAGAAAGAAGCAGACGGGACUGAGGCUCCCUGAGAUGCAGAAACUGAGGCACAGAGCAAGGAUGUGCCACAGCAGAAGCGAGUUGUGUUGGCAGUAGGAAACAAGAUAAAGAGGAGAACUCAAAGAAUUGAGAGACGGUUUUGAACAUGAUGAUGGAGAAAUAACACUCUUGGGAGAAAUGAAGAUACUUUCUCCUCCCUGGUUUACCUGAGUUUCCAGCUUUCUCCUCCCUGGUUUACCUGAGUUUCCAGCACCCAGUGAUAAGAAAGGAUGGCAUUAGUGAUGUGUACACCUGCAGUGAUAGCUUCACCUUUCUAAAGCAGAUGCCUUGGUAGACAUUUUGCCAGUCCUCCUUUCUCACUAUACACACAGCUUGGUGUACGCUGGCAGACUUUUGACCUAAUUUCUUAACCCUCAAAUAUUCCAAGACAGAACAAAGCACACAACAAAACCUGAAUGAGGCAGGGCAAAGUGGCUCAUGCCUGUAAUCCCAGCACUUUGGGAGGCCAAGGGGUGGGCAGAUCACUUGAGGUCAGGAGUUUGAGACCAGCCUAGGCAACAUGGUGAAACCCCGUCUCUACUGAAAAUACAAAAAUCAGCCGAGUGUGGUGGCAGAUGCCUGUAAUCCCAGCUACUGGGGAGGCUGAGACACAAGAAUCACUUGAACCCAGGAGGGGGAGUUUGCAGUGAGCCGAGAUUGUGCCACUGCAUGCCAGCCUGAACAACAGAGCAAGACUCUGUCACAAAAACAAACAAAAAACUGAAUGAAUGGAAGCAGAUAAGUGCAGAGAGAAACACUGAUUUACCUUGAGAAAGAUAAACAAGUAGUAUAUUGAUAUACUUGUAUAUUGCUAUCUACUAGUAUAGCUUCAAUUGGUGUAUGAGUAUAGAACUAUUGGGUUGUUCUUUAUGUGAUUACUCCUUCCCAGUUUUAGUAAAGUAUUCCAAUUUGAGGGAAAUUCUUUUAUUUGUCAAUAAAAUAAAAAGAGGUAAGUUUUAAAAUCUGUAUAGUUCUUCCUUCAUGCUAGUUGCCUCUCUUUUUGAUAUUUCUUCUAUAAAAAUCUUUUCUUAUAUUCAUUUUUCAUUGUAUAGAUCAUGAAGGAACCAUAGUGAUUAUCAAAGAUCAAGUUCAAGGCAGAGUUCCACCUUUCCCCAUGAAGCCCUUCCAGACUUGUUUACAUGUAAUACCCUUGAAGGCAAGACUCAUGUCUAUGCUAUCUUUGCUGGUAUUUGGCACUUAUUAGGUAUAAGGGCAAUUAGACCAUAUCAAUUAAUGAUCAGUAAGAAUAGAUAAAGUAGAUGUUUUUGUGAGCCUCUCAAAGAAGAUUUAUAGAAUAUUUUGGAAAUGGGGCCAAUUUGUUUCUAAAGGAAAAUUUACUUUCAAAUUAAAAAAAAAAAAUCACUCAAAUGAGAUUUUGGGGGAUUUCAUAUGAUUAACUCUUUACAUUAUCUUGUGGUAAUUAUACAGAAAUCUCUAUUUAUGUAAACACAGUAAAUGCAUCAUAACACUAGAAUAAGUAUACAAAUACUGCAUGUCAAAUUAGGUUAUAAUCACUUUGAAGGGACGUGAUUUCCUAGCUAAACAGAUUCGUUUACAUUUUGCAAAAUAAAAAAUAAGUGAAAAUAACUAUAUAAAAUCAGGCUUACAGCUGGACAGAUCUUCUUGGCAAUGGUCCAGACACUGAGCAGGGAAAAGCCCCUCCAGCUGAGGAACAUUCAGGACGCUCAGGACGACUUUGCAGGCGCGGCCGGGAUAGAGGCCCUUUUUGGGGUUGCCUUGACUGUGCACCCUGUUCCUGGCUACCUGUGGGGAGAUAAGCUGAAUUCACAUUUCAGAUGAGACUCUUUUUGUGAGAGGUCUGGGGUGGGAUGUGGGAAGUGGAGUGAAAACCUGCUUAGUAGGGGAGCCAAAAAAACAAGCAAUCCAACACUUCACCUUUAGGUAAUAAACAUAAUAGAAAAAGUCAGGAAUUCUCUAACUAAAAAGCAGAUAGUGGAAGCUAGCAUCGGACUCACUGAAUUUUAGAAUCAGGGUUUGUGUACCAUGGAUUAUCUGGCCCAGCCCUUGUCACUGGAUGAGAAAACUCUGGCUAUAGGGCAAGAAGCAGUGCUAGGACUGAGAUCCAGAAUGUUACCCUCGAAUCUGGAACUUAUUUAUGAGAUAAAUAAAGCUCAUAUUUUCAAGAGAGAUAAUUAUUUUAAAACUACUCAUUUCAAUGUGUAUCUUAAAAAAAUAAAUACAUUUCGGACCAGGCGUGAUGGCUCAUGCCUGUAAUCCCAGCACUUUGGGAGGCCAAGGUGGGCAGAUCACGAGGUCAGUUUGAGACCCGCCUGGCCAACAUAGUGAAACUCCGUCUCUACUAAAAAUAAAAAUAAAAAAAUUAGUUGGGCAUGGUGGCACGCACCUGUAGUCCCAGCUACUCAGGAGGCUGAAGCAGGAGAAUCGCUUGAACCCAUGAGGCAGAGGUUGUGGUGAGCCGAAAUUGUGUCACUGCACUCCAGCCUGGGCAACAGAGCAAGACUCCAUCUCAAAAAAUAAACAAACCAACAAACAAACAAAAAACAUUUCACAUCUCCCUGACUUAGCCAACAUUUUCUGCAACAUUCUCUUAUUUUGAUGUUAGAAGGGCAUAACUAUAAAUCUCAGUUUUUAUAUGGUAUUAUAUAAUAUAGCGGCAUCCUUUGUGGCCAGUUGAUUGUGAAGAGCAGUUUGCCUUUACUUAGCUUCCAUGAACAUUAGCUUUAAAUGCUCAUUGACAUUAAUAAGAGCCAGUUUGCUAAAUCUGUGUCUCCUUCAUGUUCAUUUGCUACUUAGUUUUGUUGAUUCCAAGAAGUCACUAAUUUUUUUAAAUCAUAAAUUCUGAUUUUGAGGUAGCUUCAUUUUUCUGGUGUUGAGUAAAAUGUGUGUGUGCGUGCUUUAUUUAAUUAAUACUAAUUUUUAUUCAAAAUAUAUUUGUUGAGCACUUACUCUCUGCUGUGGCUGGGCAUACAUUACUUUCUUUCCACAGUCCAUUGGUUGAAUUGUUCUGAGCAGCAGUUGACAAAUGAUGGCCUGUGAGCCAAAUCUACCCCACUGCCUGUUUUUGUAAAUAAAGCUUUAUCAGAACAUA